AUUGAACGCUGGCGGCAGGCCUAACACAUGCAAGUCGAACGAGUGGCGGACGGGAGAGUAAUGUCUGGGAAACUGCCCGAUGGAGGGGGAUAACUACCGGAAACGAUAGCUAAUACCGCCUACGUUAGGCUGUGUCCGGAUGGGAUUAGCGAGUAGGUGGGGUAACGGCUCACCUAGGCGACGACCCCUAGCUGGUCUGAGAGGAUGACCAGCCACACUGGAACUGAGACACGGUCCAGACUCCUACGGGAGGCAGCAGUGGGGAAUAUUGCACAAUGGGCGAAAGCCUGAUGCAGCCAUGCCGCGUGUAUGAAGAAGGCCUUCGGGUUGUAAAGUACUUUCAGCGAGGAGGCGUUACUCGCAGAAGAAGCACCGGCUAACUCCGUGCCAGCAGCCGCGGUAAUAC
RNAcentral lists this ribosomal RNA (406 nucleotides) under uncultured bacterium. RNAcentral's name for it is "partial 16S ribosomal RNA". It matches the Rfam family "Bacterial small subunit ribosomal RNA", at positions 30 to 526 of the family's 1533-position model. The record is from RNAcentral.